Long non-coding RNA from Papaver somniferum (opium poppy), 1938 nucleotides. RefSeq lists it as uncharacterized. The record is from RefSeq and is a predicted model, not a curated record. The transcript has 4 exons. Lineage: Eukaryota; Viridiplantae; Streptophyta; Magnoliopsida; Ranunculales; Papaveraceae.
UCUAAUCUUUCUCUCUCAUCUUCUGCCUUUCUCUUCCUCUCAUCUUCACAAAAGAAAACCCAAACUCACAAAAACCUCAACUACCACCACCGAAUCUCUUUUUCGCUCACUCUCUAUGUAAAUAAACUUAUGGAAGUUGUAGAUUUCAAACCCUAGAUAUCAAAACAAAAGUAAACACCCCCAAAUCUCAAUGUUGAGAUGAGAAAAAACUAACCCUAGAUUUCAAUGUUGAGAGAGGUAAGGAAAUGGAGGCGCAGUUUCUCAGAGAAUUAGAGAAGAGAGAUGAACAAGAUUAUGCAGGUAUUGAUAGUGAAAAUGGAUUCGUGGGUUUGGAUCUGUUUCUAUUAGAAAGAAAUGAUGAAGAACAAGUGCUGCUACUGCCAUGGUUGAAUCUGUGGUUGAUUUGAAACUAGUUUUUUAUUGAGGAAGAAGAUGAGCUCGAUUUCAAGAAUAAAAGAUGGGUUUUAAUGGAUUUAAGUUAACAACAGGCGUGGAUGAAAUAAUUUUGAAUCUGGUGAUAUAGAAGUGGAAUUGUGAAGAGAAACACAGGAAUUUUGGGGAGUAGAUGAAUGUUAGGACAGGGGUUUUCGAACUGGGUUGGAUGGUGUUGAUGGUGUUAAGAUUGAGCUGCAGUUCAAAUUGGUUUUGAUGUUGAUUGUCAUGGGUUAGUCAGUUGCAGGAGAUUGGUGGUAGUGAAUCAAAUGCUAAAUAAUAAUAAAAUCAUUCAGAGAAGUAAAAGAAAAUGAAAGAUAUGGAUUUUGGUAUUGGACAACAGAUGCCGGUGGAAGAAGAAGAAACAGAAGCAACAACAGAAAUUACAGAACAGAGUGAAAGUGGAUUUAGAGAUAGAUAAGAGGAUUUGGUUGAUAAAUUGAAGAAGAAAUCUUUUGAAGAAGAUUGGAAAUGGUGGAAUUAGUAGUAUGGAGAACGAACAUAUUUACAGACAUCAUACACACGAUGGAAUGAGAGAUAAUCGGUGUAGUUCAGCUCUUGUUAAACAUAUCAAAGAUCCUCUUCAUCUCGUAAGAUCUCCAUCUCUUGUGGAUAUGAGGAACCUGAGAUUAAAGGUCUUGAACCGCCGAAUGAUCUUGUAAAUGUUGCAAAUGAUUUGGCUAAUUUGGUUAAGUCUGAGGGUUGGGAUUGGCCUGAUGUUGUUAUUGGUCAUUCCAUGGGUGGAAAAGUUGCGUUAUAGUAUGCUGAGAGCUGUGCUCGUGGGGAUUAUGGUGAAUCUGCUACUUUGCCUAAACAGGAAGUUUAAGAUUGAAAUGUCGGGUUGCAGUUGAGGUGGAGGUUGCAGAGGUGUAGCUGAAGUUGAAAUUGCAUUGACACAGAGAACUAGAGAUGAUGAAUUUUCUGGUUCUAUGAUGUUCCAUAAACAACAAAGAGGACCUAGAGUUCGACUGCCAAAUCCUCCGUCGCUUUCCACGCAAAGACCUGCCUGCAAGAUGAGUUACAGAGAUAACUCUCAUUCUCAAUUCAAUGUUGACAAACAUCAACCUCAACCAUUCUUAUAUUACCAGAAGGUGAACCUGCCAGUACUAAGGAUUGACUCAUUGCGGCGUUACUUGAAGCACUUCAACAUUGUGAGUAUUACCUUUAUCAGUCUUUCUGAUUGUACAGGCUUAGAUUCUGCUGAUCCGAAAAGAACAAUUUCAGCAAGAUGGGAACUUAUUUGGCAGCAAUUUGUUAAGCUGGUACAAGGAGGAUGAGGUGGUUGCAGAGGAUGAAAUUGCUGAAACAGAUCCAAGUAAGCAGAUACAUGGAAAACCAAUCGGUCUUGGAGCCUACACUGUAUGUGUGAAGGUUUCUUAUGUGGAUGAUGCUCUUGUCUACCAAGCUACUUCAGAAGUCAGAAUUGUUCAUGAUGUUGUUUCAAAUUUUAUCACAUGGCCCAAAGAUAGAAUAAUCUACCAAUAGACUUCUUAAUCUUUUGUGAUC